AUGGGAAAGAAGUGCAGCACCUGCGGCAAGACCUACAAAACCAAACGUGCUUUUAAUGGCCACAAGAUGAAAUGCAAGUCCCCCAAGAAUCCUGAGCAAAAUGCCGCAGGACAGGAAGAGGCUUCAAGCAGUGUUGGUGAUAGGAAAGAUCUGCUUAAUUUUCAUAUAGAAAGGCGGCCACGGAGCAGCCGGGGUGCAGCGAAGGAGAUGGAUGGUGGAAAUGAAGUCUUUCCGUCAGAAGAGGAGAUAGAUGCUGCAGAGGGGCUUAGUCUUCUCCAGUACCCACGUGGCAAGGAUACAUCUUUUGAUAAUGAACCGGAAAUUGAUUAUUCAGGGGUUGAAUCAGCUGCUGAUAAUUCUGAUGCGGUGCAAGAGGACAACCCGACGCAGAAGUUGUAUCUUCUGUUGAUUUUGGGUAAACUCAUUAAGAUAAUAUCUGAUAGAAACUCAGCUUCUGUGGAUCUCUGUGGAGGUGCUGAAAAAUAUGGAAAUGAAGCCCUUUCGUUAGAAGAGACGGAAUUGAUUCACAAUGAUGAUGGUCAAAGGCUGGUUGAUUGUCCUGAAAAUUCUGUUGUGGUUGAGCCAAAACGGCCCAAGCUUGAUCUCAAGGUUUCUGACAGCAGUGACAGCCCAGCUUCUGAUGGUGCUCAAGGUGGCAACAAUGAUGCGUCGGGGUCUGGCACGCCGAAGCUGAAACAGACAUCUCUGACGGAGCCAAUGGCCACAGAGGCGGAUCGGGAACAAGAACAGAAGUCAGAUGUCUUAGAGGCUCCCCUGCCUCUCGAUACAACCUCUGUUGACCAAUCAGGAACUGACAAUCCAGGUGACGAAUCAGCUGCUGAUACUUCAGAUGAGGUGCGGGAUUCCAUGGUGCUGCUGCAGGUCGCACAAGGUCUCCUGGAUCUAAGAAACUGCACAGAUCGAUGA
This 927-nucleotide ribosomal RNA is filed under the name Triticum aestivum (bread wheat). Its description in RNAcentral is "partial small subunit ribosomal RNA". The record is from RNAcentral. Lineage: Eukaryota; Viridiplantae; Streptophyta; Magnoliopsida; Poales; Poaceae.